RNAcentral lists this ribosomal RNA (422 nucleotides) under uncultured bacterium. Its description in RNAcentral is "partial 16S ribosomal RNA". It matches the Rfam family "Bacterial small subunit ribosomal RNA", at positions 361 to 776 of the family's 1533-position model. The record is from RNAcentral.
AUUUUUGACACUGGGGAAACACUGAUCCAGCCAUCCCGCGUGUGCGAUGAAGGCCUCCGGCUUGUAAAGCACUUUUGUCAGGGAGGUAAAGGUUCUGGCUAAUACCCGGAACUGAUGACGGUACCUGAAGAAUAAGCACCGGCUAACUACGUGCCAGCAGCCGGGGUAAUACGUAGGGUGAAAGCGUUAAGCGGAAUUAGCGGGCGUAAAGCGUGCGCAGGCGGUUCGGAAAGAAGGAUGUGAAAUCCCAGGGCUCAACCUUGGAACUGCAUUCUUAACUACCGAACUAGAGUAUGUCAGAGGGGGGUAGAAUUCCGCGUGUAGCAGUGAAAUGCGUAGAUAUGCGGAGGAAUACCGAUGGCGAAGGCAGCCCCCUGGGAUAAUACUGACGCUCAUGCACGAAGGCGUGGGUAGCAAACAGG